UACGAAGGGGGCUAGCGUUGUUCGGAUUUACUGGGCGUAAAGCGUGCGCAGGCGGCUUCUCAAGUCAGGGGUGAAAGCCCAGAGCUCAACUCUGGAAUUGCCUUUGAGACUGAGUGGCUUGAGUACGGGAGAGGUGAGUGGAAUUCCCAGUGUAGAGGUGAAAUUCGUAGAUAUUGGGAAGAACACCGGUGGCGAAGGCGGCUCACUGGCCCGUAACUGACGCUCAUGCACGACAGCGUGGGGAUCAAACAGG
Molecule: ribosomal RNA, 253 nt
Filed under: uncultured bacterium
Lineage: Bacteria
Description: partial 16S ribosomal RNA
Rfam family: Bacterial small subunit ribosomal RNA
Source: RNAcentral